RNAcentral lists this ribosomal RNA (253 nucleotides) under uncultured bacterium. Its description in RNAcentral is "partial 16S ribosomal RNA". It matches the Rfam family "Bacterial small subunit ribosomal RNA", at positions 524 to 776 of the family's 1533-position model. The record is from RNAcentral.
UACGGGGGGGGCAAGCGUUGUUCGGAAUUACUGGGCGUAAAGAGCGUGUAGGCGGCCAGAUAGGUCCGUUGUGAAAACUCGAGGCUCAACCUCGAGACGCCGAUGGAAACCAUUUGGCUAGAGUCCGGAAGAGGAGAGUGGAAUUCCCGGUGUAGCGGUGAAAUGCGCAGAUAUCAGGAGGAACACCGGUGGCGAAGGCGGGUCUCUGGGCCGAUACUGACGCUGAGGAGCGAAAGCGUGGGGAGCGAACAGG